RNAcentral lists this ribosomal RNA (253 nucleotides) under uncultured bacterium. RNAcentral describes it as "partial 16S ribosomal RNA". It matches the Rfam family "Bacterial small subunit ribosomal RNA", at positions 524 to 776 of the family's 1533-position model. The record is from RNAcentral.
CACGUAGGGGGCAAGCGUUGUCCGGAAUUAUUGGGCGUAAAGAGCUCGUAGGCGGCUCGGUAAGUCAGGUGUCAAAUCCUCAGGCUCAACCUGGGGCUCCACCUGAUACUGCUGUGGCUAGAGUCCGGUAGGGGAGCGUGGAAUUCCUGGUGUAGCGGUGAAAUGCGCAGAUAUCAGGAGGAACACCUGUGGCGAAAGCGGCUCACUGGACCACAACUGACGCUGAGGCGCGAAAGCGUGGGGAGCGAACAGG